GAUAUUCUUCUAAAUAAGUCACGAUGAGCUCUGUGGCGCCGGCAGGGAGGUUAGCCGUUGAGGCAUCACAUGGUGUUGUCCCCGCCAGUUGGUAGAUCGAAGAAAGGAUUCACCAAAGAUGGCGACGGACUUCCCCAUGACUCCAGUGGACAGGUUGCCUAUUUUUGCUCAUGAGGCCUGCGGCGCUGUCAUUUUAGUGAAAAUGGUACAGGGUGGGGAUGGUAUGCCCAAAGUUCAUUCAUUGGGCGGAUCCAGAUUGGGGGUGGUUGAAGCAGGGGUCAGUGCCGGAGCCGGGUUCAGUGGUACUGGGUACGGCGACCAAAUAAGUGUUGAUGGUGGAGGUGGGGCAGUGUCGGAUUUCAAUGAGAGUGAGGGAGAUAACGCUGAUGCGUUUGAGCAAGGAGGUACACGAGUAGAGUAGCACCACGCCAUGGAUUCACUGAUUGCAGACCAAGCAAAGAGUGUAGGUGCAACUUCAGUUCAUUCUACAGGAAAGAUGGAUCCACAAGCACCCGGUUGGACAAGAAGGGUGUGAGUUGGGAAACGUCCUGAACAUCCGGUAGAUCAAACUCUGCUCAAAAGUUUUUGUGUUCAGCAUGAAACCGAAUGCUGCAGAACUAACAAGUCAUGCUAAUAUAUCUAAUCUGUCUGAAUCCUCUUGGACCAAGACGGCCAGCUCCUGGUUUGACUGUAGAUCUUGUUCCACGUUGGUGAGGUCACCUUCGAGACCAUCUCCAACUUGACCAUCCACGAAACCAUCCCACUAGCAGCGCGACAGAGCACAUGUCAGUAAUUUAAGAUAUGCAUAAACCUAUAAUUUAUUAGCAUGCGCUGGAUGACUGUUGAUACACUCUUGUGACUUGCAGACACACCAGCUACAUUGCUUGCCCCUGGAAUUGAGCAUCCCCCACUGAAUCCAACUGCAUCAAAAAUUGUCCGACAACUAUUAGAAUUACAUCUCAUGUUUUUAACAUUUCUUCUGUACUAAUUUGCUACCAUUUACAUUAAUGCAUUUGUUACUCACGAAACACUAACCUGCUUCAGCAAACAUUUAACGCAAGAAGAAAGCAACACCGUCAUCAGUGAGAGACACUUCCCCUUCACUGUCAUCAUGCGGCAUGAGCGCCUUAAAUUCCGACCUGGUCACAAGCUACAAACUCCCGCUCCCACGGAAGCUAUUUGUUGAGCACCACCUCCAUCCAUAUCUCCUACGGUGAACCGUGGUAGGGAACAAUCUUCGGCAACUUUACCAGCAUGAUCCAGAUCCAUGUCCAUCCCUGACAGACCAAAACAAUACAAAGAUUGACUUGGCCUAUGCAUGAGAAGAAUAUGUGAAAUGGAUUUUCUUUGAUACAGAUGGCGAGAUUGAAUUUACCCUCAUUGUCUGCAAUAGAAUCAGAUGAAGUACCAGGUUGUUCUUGAACAUAGCCACCCUGUGAGCUGCUCCUGACACAACCUACACUUUAUUGUUAGCAUUGGAUUGAUUUAACAAAUUAAUCAUUCCUACAGAUAUCCUACAUUUAUCUCUAUUUAUCUGUUACACAAAUCAAGUCGCUAGCCAGACACUUACGUGCUUUUAAGCCCGCACAUCUUGCCUCCAUCUUCACCGCACUUUAGGUAAUCUGCUUAAAAGAUGUGAGUUCUUGCCGGAAGGGGUGUUUUGAAGCCCGGGCUCAGCUGCUCCCAUAAUCUGGCUCGUUUGUUUUGGUCUUGGGAUGUGAACAAAUCCAGCUGGCUUGUCAGAUACGAGCAAGGAGAAACAGAAGAAACCAACAAAUACGGUAGGAAACAGUACGCAAGACGGGGACGGCGGGGCGCGGCCUGACGGACGUCGCGGCGGCUGGGUAUGGGCCGUGGACCAGGUCGUCGGCUUUCCAACCAGGACGUUUGCUUUUUUAUUCUGGGCCAAGGAUCAGAUAAUGGGUCCGUGUGGCCGGUAGCAAUUUACGCCGCCUGUCGGUCGUGCGGCAUGAAAUGAAAAAAAAAAGGUAGAUUUGUCCUCCACUAUCUCCUGGUUCGUCCUAGAGGGUCCCCUCGCCGCCGCGGUACCCUGGAGCCUGGUCACCGGGAAAAAAGGGAGAGCGUAGCGGGAGGCCGGCCAACCGGGUUGCGGCGGCGACCGUGCUCCGACGACGGACUAACCAGUGAUGGAGGGGGAGGGUAUGGAGUUUCUAAUUGACGCUGUUGACAGGUUCCCCGUGCGUGAGGAAUUUGCGGACAGCCUUACAACCCAGAUCCAGUUCCACUACUUUUUCUGCUGGAGAAGGGGAGUGCGACUGAGGAUGUGGGUGAGGUCGAUGGCGUCACUGAGCUGACUCAAAUGGAGGAUGUAGGAGCAGCAGCGGCAACGCAACAAGGUGGCCAUGCUUUACGAGCUGAAUCUCCAACGAGGUCUGCUCAAUCAACAGGCAGAGUGAAUCCACAAGCCCCCGGUUGGACAAAAAGGCUCCGGCUUGGAAGUGCACCACCUGACCGGGUGGCUUGCCCGUCGAGGAUGAGCGCACUAGAAAUUUCAAUCCGCAAGUAUGCAGAGCAACCUGAUAAGAGCGUCGUUAAACCUGAGCUGGGACUUAGUUUUGAUUCGUUGGGCAAGGCAUAUAGUUUGGCAGCGGGAACAAUCUGGGCAUCCCCGUUGCCGUGCUGGACUGCAAAUCCAUGCCCCGCUGGGUGCCAUCCCGCUUGAUGCUGCGCAGCAAGGAUCUGCUCGUGGGUCAUCCUCCUGCAGUACGCGCGCUGGAACUCAAAGAAACGUCACUGAAGGGCCUGCCAAAGGAGAAGAGAAAAUCUCAAUCAUUAGCCAGAAACGAUGACCAGCCUGGUUACUAGUCCUCGCGAAGGCGGUCACGACCUCGUCGCUGCAGAGAGGGCAUGCCAUCAAAGGGAGCAGCCAAUCGGCUGGGACAGGAAGGGAAGAUGAAGACGAUGCGGACAUGGCAGCGCGGACGAGAUUGAACAAUGGCGAUGGCCAAGCAGGGGCGAGCUCGGGAGAGUAAAUGGAGAUGGGUGGUGUGCUGGCUAGAGUGAAUGAGCUGGUUGGGCUGGUGAGCAUUUAUGGAGCUGGCGCUCCGACGCCGUUUGUGCUGUGAAUCUUGCGUCAUACGGCUCAUGCAGGCUCAGAUGUGGUGCCGAGCCGUCGCACCUCCAACGGGGCCGCGACGUGCCGUCUCCAUAAAUGCACCUCUGACACGCGAGCCAGAAAAGAGAUAUACGGCCUGAAAAUACAUGAAGACACACAGAUCUUGGCGCAGACCAUCGGUGUGGAUUUCGGGAGCAGCUGAGCCCGAGCUCAGAAUCGAAUUUUCGGUUCUUGCCUCCAUGCGCACCCCCAGCCUUCUCUACUAGUUUUUACAUUGCCAUUUGCUCACUCUUUGCUGUCAUUCGCCAAUCUUUCUUCUAGGCCGGGCGAUGCCAGUUCUACGACUGGCAGGAGGGAUACGAGAUGUACCUGCUUCCUGACAAGGAUGCAGAGGUCACCGACGAGAGCCAUGCCCCCACUACAACAGCUCCACAUGCUGCCGCCCCUGCGGAGAUCUCUUUAGGAGCUCGAGUUAUCCAAGAUCUCAUCAGGGUCAACAUCAUGCUCAGCGUUACCAACCUGAUGGCUACGUUGCUGCUGCUAGCCAUUGGCAUGACUUCAUUCGCUUGGAUGUUCUUCUAUUGCUGAAUCCACCCAUCUCAUGUGUACUAGCUAGACUAAGAACAGGAAAUUUGCAUGUAAUCACACUCUAAUCUCCUUAUAAUCCUUAAGCAAUGUGUGUUGAUGUCAAUCCAUAAUUAAUCAAGUGCGGGGCCACUAAUUUACCAAUUAAUGUGCCGCCACAUGUAGCUUUAUUUUAUUCUGGAGCUCUCU
Triticum aestivum (bread wheat) is the source of this 3850-nucleotide RNA transcript. RefSeq lists it as uncharacterized. The record is from RefSeq and is a predicted model, not a curated record. Lineage: Eukaryota; Viridiplantae; Streptophyta; Magnoliopsida; Poales; Poaceae. The transcript has 6 exons.